UCUUAAUCGAGGAAAUCCCUUCGGGGACAAGGUGACAGGUGGUGCAUGGUUGUCGUCAGCUCGUGUCGUGAGAUGUUGGGUUAAGUCCCGCAACGAGCGCAACCCUUGUCGUUAGUUACUACCAUUAAGUUGAGGACUCUAGCGAGACUGCCUGGGUUAACCAGGAGGAAGGUGGGGAUGACGUCAAAUCAUCAUGCCCCUUAUGUGUAGGGCUACACACGUGCUACAAUGGCUGGUACAGAGAGAUGCAAUACCGCGAGGUGGAGCCAAACUUAAAAACCAGUCUCAGUUCGGAUUGUAGGCUGAAACUCGCCUACAUGAAGCUGGAGUUACUAGUAAUCGCGAAUCAGAAUGUCGCGGUGAAUACGUUCCCGGGUCUUGUACACACCG
This 390-nucleotide ribosomal RNA is filed under the name Clostridium perfringens. Its description in RNAcentral is "bacterial SSU rRNA". It matches the Rfam family "Bacterial small subunit ribosomal RNA", at positions 1000 to 1392 of the family's 1533-position model. The record is from RNAcentral. Lineage: Bacteria; Bacillati; Bacillota; Clostridia; Eubacteriales; Clostridiaceae.